This 90-nucleotide transfer RNA is filed under the name bacterium. Its description in RNAcentral is "tRNA-Ser". It matches the Rfam family "tRNA". From Rfam's summary of the family: Transfer RNA (tRNA) molecules are approximately 80 nucleotides in length. Their secondary structure includes four short double-helical elements and three loops (D, anti-codon, and T loops). The record is from RNAcentral.
GGAGAGGUGCUGGAGUGGUUGAUCAGGAUAGUCUCGAAAACUAUUGGGGGCGUAAGCCCCUCGUGGGUUCAAAUCCCACCCUCUCCGCCA